Molecule: long non-coding RNA, 824 nt
Organism: Pan troglodytes (chimpanzee)
Lineage: Eukaryota; Metazoa; Chordata; Mammalia; Primates; Hominidae
Exons: 2
Source: RefSeq, a predicted model, not a curated record
UUUCUUUUAAGGGUUUUAGGAGGGAGAGCAGAGCCAACUCUUGGAGGCACUGGACUGGCUGUGACACAGAAAAACAAGAUAUGUGAGGUUGAUACCUCCAGCUUCAUCUUCUCACUCAGGAUUGUUUUCACUUUUUGGGCUUCUUUGCGAUUCUAUAAACAUUUUAAGAUUAUUUUCCUGUUUCUAUAAAAAAUGCCAUUGGGAUUCAUAGAAUCUGAUAUAUGUCUUCUUUAAUUUUCUUUACCAAUGUUUUAUAGUCUUCAGUGUGCAAGUAUUUCACCUCUUUGGCUAAGUUUAUUUUGAAGCAUUUUAUUCUUUUUGUUGUUACUGCAAAUGUAAUUGUUUUCUUAUUUUCCUUUUUGGAUAGUUCAUUAUCAGUGUAUAGAAAUGUCUCUGAUUUUCGUAUGUGUAUUUCGUAUCCUACAACAUUACUAGAAUUAUCAGUACUUUAACAAUACAUUGUUAAUUACACUCAUCCUAUAGUGCUAUAGAACCCUAGAACUUAUUCCUCCCAUCUAGUUAGUUGCAUUUUGUAUCAGUAAUCACUUUCCUUCUAUGAGUUCAACUUUUUUAGCUUCCGUGUAUGAAUGAGAACAUAACAGCAUUUAUCUUUCUGUGCCUGGCUUAUUUCACUUAACACAAUGGCUCCAAAUUCAUCCAUGUUGAUGCAAAUAACAGAACUUUGUGAUUUUUUAAUGGCUAAACAGUAUUUCAUCGCAUAUAUAUACUGUAUUUUCUUCAUCCUUUCACUUGUUGAUGGACACUGAGAUUGAUUCCAAAUCUUGGCUGUGAAUAGUACUCCAAUAAAUAUUAGAGUGCAGAUA